AUUUAAGUAGUUUAAUAAAAUAAAGAUUUGUGGUUUCUUAGAUAACAUAAUGUUCUUAAAUU
This 62-nucleotide transfer RNA is filed under the name Anagonalia melichari. RNAcentral's name for it is "tRNA-His". Lineage: Eukaryota; Metazoa; Arthropoda; Insecta; Hemiptera; Cicadellidae. The record is from RNAcentral.